This is a non-coding RNA of Equus caballus (horse), 703 nucleotides long. The record is from RefSeq and is a predicted model, not a curated record. Lineage: Eukaryota; Metazoa; Chordata; Mammalia; Perissodactyla; Equidae.
CCAAUUUCCUAAGACAAAGUUGACUUACCAGGGGCAUGUUCAAAACUUCACAGGACUGUCGAGGUUCCAAAUGGACACUAAUCCAUUAGCCUGAGUCCCCCAAGGAAGAGGAUGUGGAACAGAGCCACCGUUGACCUGCUGUGGACAUGUGGUGUGUGAGAUAUAAACCUUCGCUGUGGCUCUUUGGAAUCAGGAGGAGCUGGCUGCUUCAGCUGAAUCGCUGAAAAUGAAACUUUUAACAGACAAUAAUGAUAAUGAAGAUGAUAAUAUUAAUAUCCACUAUCUUCUAUUCACCAGGCCCUGUCCGGGUUUCUCACCAUCAUUGCCCUACCGAGAAACCCAGGGACAUACCAGGAACUGCUUCCACACAAGUGUUUUGCCAGGGACGGUUUUAUUCCAGGAACCACUCAGCUGACCCGGAAAGACAUCCUCUACAGACUACAAUCUUCAAAAGCAAAGUGCAUUAUUACCAAUGAAGUUUUAGCCCCAGCAGUAGAUGCUGUUGCAUCUAAAUGUGAAAAUUUUCUCUCCAAGCUAAUUGUGUCUCAGAACCCCAGAGAGGGGUGGGGGAACCUCAAGGAGAUGAUCAAGUGAGUAGUCAUAACUGUUGCAGAACAGCUUCCCCAAAAGAAAGGCAAAUUGAAAAGUUACUCAACCCACAAGUGAUCAGGAAAAUGAAAAUUAAAACAAUAGACAAAGGGAA